UACGGGGGGGGUAAGCGUUGUUCGGAAUUACUGGGCGUAAAGGGCUCGUAGGCGGCCAACUAAGUCAGACGUGAAAUCCCUCAGCUUAACUGGGGAACUGCGUCUGAUACUGUCGGGCUAGAGUCCGGAAGAGGCGAGUGGAAUUCCCGGUGUAGCGGUGAAAUGCGCAGAUAUCAGGAGGAACACCAAUGGCGAAGGCAGCUCGCUGGGACGUUACUGACGCUGAGACGCGAAAGCGUGGGGAGCAAACAGG
This 253-nucleotide ribosomal RNA is filed under the name uncultured bacterium. Its description in RNAcentral is "partial 16S ribosomal RNA". It matches the Rfam family "Bacterial small subunit ribosomal RNA", at positions 524 to 776 of the family's 1533-position model. The record is from RNAcentral.